UACGGAGGGUGCAAGCGUUAUCCGGAUUCACUGGGUUUAAAGGGUGCGUAGGCGGGCAGGUAAGUCAGUGGUGAAAGCCUGGAGCUCAACUCCAGAACUGCCUUUGAAACUAGGUCGCUAGAACAUCGGAGAGGUGAGUGGAAUUCCGAGUGUAGAGGUGAAAUUCGUAGAUAUUCGGAAGAACACCAGUGGCGAAGGCGGCUCACUGGACGAUUGUUGACGCUGAGGCACGAAAGCGUGGGGAGCAAACAGG
RNAcentral lists this ribosomal RNA (253 nucleotides) under uncultured bacterium. RNAcentral's name for it is "partial 16S ribosomal RNA". It matches the Rfam family "Bacterial small subunit ribosomal RNA", at positions 524 to 776 of the family's 1533-position model. The record is from RNAcentral.